AAUUAAAUAUUUUAUUAAAGUUAAAAUUUUAUUUUUAUUUAAAAUAAAUAUAUUAUUGAUUUAUUAUAUUUUAAAGAAAAAUUAAUAAUUAUAAUAGUUAAUUAGUAUAUAAUUAGAAUAAUUUUAAAUGGUUAAAGAAAAAUUUAUAUUUGUACCUUGUGUCUCAGGGUUGAUUAAUUAUUAAUUAGGUACAUUAUUAUUCUCGAAUUUUAAAGAGCUAAGUUUAAUUAUUUAUUUUAUUGUUUCAUAAAUAUUUUACAUUAUAACUUAGAAAUGAAACGUUAUUCGUUUUAAAAUAUAUCUAGUUUUUUAAGAAAAAAAUUUAAUUUUAAUUUUAUUAAAUAUUUUUUUUAUUUUUUAAUUUAAUAUUUUUAUAAAAUUAAAUAUUUUUAGGGAUGAGCUUAAAAAUAUAUUAUUAUAAACAUUUUAAAUUUAUUUAAAUUUGUAGGAUUAAAAAUUUUUAUCAUUAAUAGUUUGUUAUUAUUAAUUUAAAUAUUAGUAUUAUUUUUAUAAGUUUUAAUUUGUAUAUUAAGAUUUUAAUUUUAAUUUUAAAAAUUAAGUAAUAAUGAUUAAAUUAGUAAAAGUUUAUGUUUUAAGUUAAAAUUAUUUUAGGUAUUUCUAAGGAAUUCGGCAAAUGUAUUUUUCACCUGUUUAUUAAAAACAUGUCUUAUUGAUUUUAUAAUUUUAAGUCUAAUCUGCCCACUGAGGAAUUAAAUGGCCGCGGUAUUUUGACCGUGCAAAGGUAGCAUAAUCAUUAGUUUUUUAAUUGAAAGCUGGAAUGAAAGAUUGAAUGAGAAAAUAACUGUCUCUUUAAUAAUUUUUGAAUUUUAUAUUUAAGUAAAAAAGCUUAAAUAAUAUUAAAAGACGAGAAGACCCUAUAGAGUUUUAUUUUAUAGUAAAUAGUUUAGAUUUAGUUAUUUAUAAAUAUACUAUUUAUUAAAAAUUGUAUUGGGGUGAUAGAAAAAUUUAAUUAACUUUUUUUAUAUUUAAUUCAAUAAUAUUUGUUUUAUUGAUCCAAAAAUUUUGAUUAUAAGAUUAAAUUACCUUAGGGAUAACAGCGUAAUUUUUCUUGAAAGUUCUUAUUGAAAGAAAAGGUUGCGACCUCGAUGUUGGAUUAAAAUUUAAUUUUGGUGUAGAAGCUAAAAAUUUUAAGUCUGUUCGACUUUUAAAAUUUUACAUGAUCUGAGUUUAAACCGGUGUGAGCCAGGUUGGUUUCUAUCUUUAAUAAAUUAAAAUAUUUUAGUACGAAAGGACCAAAUAUUUAUUUUAAAAAUUUAAAUUUGAAUAAGAUUA
This 1293-nucleotide ribosomal RNA is filed under the name Cucujoidea sp. 46 KM-2017. RNAcentral describes it as "16S ribosomal RNA". The stretch from base 1051 to 1210 matches the Rfam family "Archaeal large subunit ribosomal RNA", at positions 2542 to 2701 of the family's 2987-position model. The record is from RNAcentral. Lineage: Eukaryota; Metazoa; Arthropoda; Insecta; Coleoptera.